AGUGAACGCUGGCGGUAGGCCUAACACAUGCAAGUCGAACGGCAGCACAGUAAGAGCUUGCUCUUACGGGUGGCGAGUGGCGGACGGGUGAGGAAUACAUCGGAAUCUACUUUUUCGUGGGGGAUAACGUAGGGAAACUUACGCUAAUACCGCAUACGACCUACGGGUGAAAGCAGGAGAUCUUCGGACCUUGCGCGAUUGAAUGAGCCGAUGUCGGAUUAGCUAGGUGGCGGGGUAAAGGCCCACCAAGGCGACGAUCCGUAGCUGGUCUGAGAGGAUGAUCAGCCACACUGGAACUGAGACACGGUCCAGACUCCUACGGGAGGCAGCAGUGGGGAAUAUUGGACAAUGGGCGCAAGCCUGAUCCAGCCAUACCGCGUGGGUGAAGAAGGCCUUCGGGUUGUAAAGCCCUUUUGUUGGGAAAGAAAAGCAGCAGGUUAAUACCCCGCUGUUCUGACGGUACCCAAAGAAUAAGCACCGGCUAACUUCGUG
RNAcentral lists this ribosomal RNA (492 nucleotides) under uncultured bacterium. Its description in RNAcentral is "partial 16S ribosomal RNA". It matches the Rfam family "Bacterial small subunit ribosomal RNA", at positions 29 to 507 of the family's 1533-position model. The record is from RNAcentral.